CCAAUGACACAGUGGAAAAAAAGGCAAACAUUUAUUUUUAUUUGCAAGAGCAGUUUCUGCCAAUAGUUAAUGCUCACAAAACCUUUUAAGCUACAGUAACUUUUGGUAAACUCAAUGAAGACUUUAAAAAAGACCCAGUGAUAAGAAAAUUACAGAAAAAUCUCCAUUACACUGUCGAAAAUGUUUGGAAUCCAAAAUCCACUAUUUUCUGCAAUGGUUUUUAAUAUUUGCUCUGGUUAAAAAAAGAUUUUCUUUUUGCUUCCUUUCUACUUCUACAUAGUCCUGGUUAAAUGAAUACAAUCUCUCCCAUAUCUGCCAUUUUCUGGAUUUAGAUUAUUUUCAUUCUUACAAGCCAGAGCAUUUUCAAAAUUUUAAAUUCAUGUUUGUUACAGUAUGUGAAGUCAUUAAGAAAAGCCUCUGGUUUUCCAGUUUGGUAACAAAUGGCUUUUGUUUGAUGCAGAAUUAAUAGAAACUAAUGAUGACUAUGUAGCUUUUCCAGAGUUUUAAAGGCAAAUCUAUAUUGGCCUACAGUUAACAUGCAAAUUCUUCCAACAAGCAACACAAAAUGUAUUGUAGUAGUCAUUCAUGUUUAUCAACAUUCAAGAAGAUCUAGUCAGCAGCACAACUCUCCUAUGUCAGAAACACGUAACAUGGUCACAACUGAAUUCAGAUCACACCUGGGAAAAAUCCCCUUUUCCUAAUGCAUCCUCUAGAGUCCAGACUCCCAGCACGGUACAGAAACAACAGCAAUGAAUACUGCGGUACAAAGGGAAGCACAGACAAGAGUUUGGUGUGCCAGCAUACAGAGCUUUCAAAACAGUGACAAACAAAACCAAACAUCUUGCCCUGUUCUCUUUUCCUUCUGUGAGACUAGAAUUCUCACAGUCUUCUAGAAACAUUCAAUUCGGGGAAUGAAGUCCAAAUGACCCUAGCACUGGGGUGCUGA
RNAcentral lists this long non-coding RNA (946 nucleotides) under Bos taurus (domestic cattle). RNAcentral's name for it is "long non-coding RNA NONBTAT004915". Lineage: Eukaryota; Metazoa; Chordata; Mammalia; Artiodactyla; Bovidae. The record is from RNAcentral.